AAUUUGAAAUCUGGCCCCUCCGGGGUCCGAGUUGUAAUUUGUAGAGAGUGCUUCGGGUGAGACUGCGGUCUAAGUCCAUUGGAACAUGGCGUCCCAGAGGGUGAGAAUCCCGUAUGUGACUGCGGCUCGAGCCCAUGUGAAGCCUCUUCGACGAGUCGAGUUGUUUGGGAAUGCAGCUCUAAAUGGGUGGUAAAUUUCAUCUAAAGCUAAAUACUGGCUGGAGACCGAUAGCGCACAAGUAGAGUGAUCGAAAGAUGAAAAGCACUUUGGAAAGAGAGUUAAACAGUACGUGAAAUUGUUGAAAAGGAAGCGCUUGCAACCAGACCUGUCCGUAGGCGAUCACCCGCUGUUCUCAGCGGUGCACUCGUUCUGCGAUCAGGCCAGCAUCGGUUCGGGCGGCCGGAUAAAGGCCUUGGGAAUGUAGCUCUCCUCCGGGGGAGUCUUAUAGCCCUCGGUGCAAUGCGGCCAGCCGGGACCGAGGACCGCGCUUCGGCUAGGAUGCUGGCGUAAUGGUUGUAAGCGACCC
This 526-nucleotide ribosomal RNA is filed under the name Melanohalea aff. multispora SL-2012. RNAcentral describes it as "eukaryotic LSU rRNA". It matches the Rfam family "Eukaryotic large subunit ribosomal RNA", at positions 112 to 650 of the family's 3401-position model. The record is from RNAcentral. Lineage: Eukaryota; Fungi; Ascomycota; Lecanoromycetes; Lecanorales; Parmeliaceae.